UCUACGGGAGGCAGCAGUAGGGAAUCUUCCGCAAUGGACGAAAGUCUGACGGAGCAACGCCGCGUGAGUGAUGAAGGUCUUCGGAUCGUAAAGCUCUGUUGUUAGGGAAGAACAAAUGUGUAAGUAACUGUGCACGUCUUGACGGUACCUAAUCAGAAAGCCACGGCUAACUACGUGCCAGCAGCCGCGGUAAUA
RNAcentral lists this ribosomal RNA (195 nucleotides) under uncultured bacterium. RNAcentral describes it as "partial 16S ribosomal RNA". It matches the Rfam family "Bacterial small subunit ribosomal RNA", at positions 338 to 525 of the family's 1533-position model. The record is from RNAcentral.